AUGCCGUGGCCGUCGCUGUCUUCACUGGCCGCAGGUGUCGUCGUCGUCGCUGACGAUGUCAACGUAGUCCCGCGACGUCCACAGGUGGGCCGGCGGUCCGUGGUGCACGGGGGCGGCGGGCUGGAAGGUGGUCAGUGCCUGCACCACCUCCUCCCGAGGCGAGGCCUCCCGCUCCGGCGACCGCGACGGCGUGGGGCACCAGUUCACGGCCCCCAGGGCGGCCGCCAUCUGCUCAGCGAAGCACGACCAGCUCCACCCCUGGCCCACCAAGUCAGGGUGGAACGCGGUCACCGGCGGCUCCUCCACCACCUUCUCCUUUGGCGCCAUCUCCAGCUCGGGGAUGGCGACGUCGCCGGCCGCGGAGAGGGCCAUCGUCUCCUCGAGGUCCGCCCAUUGACGCUCGUCGUGCGUGUGCUUGGAGUCCUUCAGCACACGCGCCAUGAGCCGGGCCUCCUCCUCUGCCGUCAUGCGAGGAGGUGGGGGUGGCGAUGGAGAUGGCGACAGCGUGCCCGCGCGCCUGGGGAGCCGCUCGGGGCUCACGUGGCCGCCGACGCCCCGUCGACGUGCCGGCGAAGAACGACGCCCGCCGCACGUCGUGCUCAUCGCGGAGCCAAGUGUCCCACAAUGGCGAGUCGCGGGCGUACCUCUCGUCGUAGUAGAGGUCGUCCGAGAGGAGGCGGCGGUGGCGCUGGAUCUCCUGGCGGCGCGCACGGUCGCUCUGCGGGACGGGCGGGAUCCGCACGCGAUCGGCCGACAGGUGCCAGUUAUUGGGGAGGUGGACGUCGCUCCGGGGCAGCGGCGUCCUCGUAUCCCAAUACCGGCGGCAGACGGCCGCCUCGAUGUAGUGUCGGUCGCGCUCGCCGACGACCGUGGGCGCGACGGAGAACGCAGGCGGCGCGGGGGCCCGAUGUGGUGGCGAUGGUGAUGCGGGCUCCUCCUUCUUCACCGAGCCGCGGCGGCGUCCCGACGAGGAACCAGCCUCGCGGUCGUGCUUGCCUUUGCGGCCAUAGUUCCAGAGGCCCAUGA
This 1026-nucleotide ribosomal RNA is filed under the name Triticum aestivum (bread wheat). RNAcentral's name for it is "partial small subunit ribosomal RNA". The record is from RNAcentral. Lineage: Eukaryota; Viridiplantae; Streptophyta; Magnoliopsida; Poales; Poaceae.